CCCAGCUUGCUGGGCGGAUUAGUGGCGAACGGGUGAGUAAUACGUGAGUAACCUGCCCUUGACUCUGGGAUAAGCCUGGGAAACUGGGUCUAAUACUGGAUACUACCUCUUACCGCAUGGUGGGUGGUGGAAAGGGUUUUACUGGUUUUGGAUGGGCUCACGGCCUAUCAGCUUGUUGGUGGGGUAAUGGCUCACCAAGGCGACGACGGGUAGCCGGCCUGAGAGGGUGACCGGCCACACUGGGACUGAGACACGGCCCAGACUCCUACGGGAGGCAGCAGUGGGGAAUAUUGCACAAUGGGCGGAAGCCUGAUGCAGCGACGCCGCGUGAGGGAUGACGGCCUUCGGGUUGUAAACCUCUUUCAGUAGGGAAGAAGCGAGAGUGACGGUACCUGCAGAAGAAGCGCCGGCUAACUACGUGCCAGCAGCCGCGGUAAUACGUAGGGCGCAAGCGUUGUCCGGAAUUAUUGGGCGUAAAGAGCUCGUAGGCGGUUUGUCGCGUCUGCUGUGAAAGCCCGGGGCUCAACCCCGGGUCUGCAGUGGGUACGGGCAGACUAGAGUGCAGUAGGGGAGACUGGAAUUCCUGGUGUAGCGGUGAAAUGCGCAGAUAUCAGGAGGAACACCGAUGGCGAAGGCAGGUCUCUGGGCUGUUACUGACGCUGAGGAGCGAAAGCAUGGGGAGCGAACAGGAUUAGAUACCCUGGUAGUCCAUGCCGUAAACGUUGGGCACUAGGUGUGGGGGACAUUCCACGUUUUCCGCGCCGUAGCUAACGCAUUAAGUGCCCCGCCUGGGGAGUACGGCCGCAAGGCUA
RNAcentral lists this ribosomal RNA (812 nucleotides) under Kocuria rosea. Its description in RNAcentral is "bacterial SSU rRNA". It matches the Rfam family "Bacterial small subunit ribosomal RNA", at positions 74 to 896 of the family's 1533-position model. Lineage: Bacteria; Bacillati; Actinomycetota; Actinomycetes; Micrococcales; Micrococcaceae. The record is from RNAcentral.